RNAcentral lists this ribosomal RNA (331 nucleotides) under uncultured bacterium. RNAcentral describes it as "bacterial SSU rRNA". It matches the Rfam family "Bacterial small subunit ribosomal RNA", at positions 568 to 897 of the family's 1533-position model. The record is from RNAcentral.
CGUGUAGGCGGUUGGAUAAGUCGGAUGUGAAAUCCCGAAGCUCAACUUCGGAAGUGCAUUCGAAACUGUUCAGCUAGAGUACGGGAGAGGGGAGUGGAAUUCCUGGUGUAGAGGUGAAAUUCGUAGAUAUCAGGAGGAACACCGGUGGCGAAGGCGGCUCUCUGGACCGAUACUGACGCUGAGACGCGAAAGCGUGGGGAGCAAACAGGAUUAGAUACCCCGGUAGUCCACGCUGUAAACGGUGAGCACUAGGUGUAGCGGGUAUUGACCCCUGCUGUGCCGCAGCUAACGCAUUAAGUGCUCCGCCUGGGGAGUACGGCCGCAAGGUUAA